UGGGGAAUAUUGCACAAUGGGCGGAAGCCUGAUGCAGCGACGCCGCGUGAGGGAUGACGGCCUUCGGGUUGUAAACCUCUUUCAGUAGGGACGAAGCGUAAGUGACGGUACCUGCAGAAGAAGCACCGGCUAACUACGUGCCAGCAGCCGCGGUAAUACGUAGGGUGCGAGCGUUGUCCGGAAUUACUGGGCGUAAAGAGCUCGUAGGCGGUUUGUCACGUCGUCUGUGAAAUCCUAGGGCUUAACCCUGGACGUGCAGGCGAUACGGGCUGACUUGAGUACUACAGGGGAGACUGGAAUUUCUGGUGUAGCGGUGGAAUGCACAGAUAUCAGGAAGAACACCGAUGGCGAAGGCAGGUCUCUGGGUAGUAACUGACGCUGAGGAGCGAAAGCAUGGGCAGCGAACAGG
This 409-nucleotide ribosomal RNA is filed under the name Verrucomicrobiota bacterium. RNAcentral's name for it is "Verrucomicrobia bacterium partial 16S ribosomal RNA". It matches the Rfam family "Bacterial small subunit ribosomal RNA", at positions 355 to 776 of the family's 1533-position model. The record is from RNAcentral. Lineage: Bacteria; Pseudomonadati; Verrucomicrobiota.